GAGGCAAAGAAGCACCACUCUGACAUGGAAAAUAAUUUCCGUUGUCAGAUUAUUCUUGUUUAACUUGGUUUAACUUUAUAGUAGGGUUAAAUGUGGCAUUUGAAGGUUGGUGAGUAACAACAUCUUUUAAAACAUGGUGAAUUCCAACAAGAAAAGACCAAGGCAACAGACGCAUGAGAGUGAGGUAUUUAUCUGAGGGCGAUUGAAGUCACCAGCUUAACAGUAGUGGAAAGACCUUAAGCCAGAGAACUCCAGGUUCAAGAACCACCACCUGCAAACUUGGCAAAUUUGGACAAAUGUCUCUCUGAGUUUCAUUGUCUUCAUCCACAAAUAAAGCAAGAUUACUUCGCCUACAGAAUUGCGAAAUUAUGACCAGACCAUGAGGGUAUGAAGGAUGAGGAAAAGGGAGCAGUCAUGGAGCUGUUUUGGAGGGAGUCAUAAUUCCUUAGACCUCUGACAACUGGAACUCUCAAUCUGCCAGUGAAAGCUGACAUGAGCCCAAUAAGGAUGGUCUUUUCUAUUCAAAGAUAGGGACACCCUCUUUUUAAAGGACAUUCAAUUCAAAUGUAUCUUCUCUGGUUAAAGUAUGGUGAAGUCUGUCCUGUGGGCACUCCCCAUUGACUCCUAGCAGCUCUUGAGCCCCAUCUUCAGGAUCCGUACUUUGAUAGUCACUGACAAUUAGCUUUGAAAAUCUAUAGUUCCAAUCCUGUGAAAUGAGAAGAAUGUUGAAGCUAUAAAGGAGGUCUUUGCCUGCAUUCAGAUUCUGACACCAAAGACUCCUCUGAUUAUACUGAAGUAUGUAAGAAAACCUUCUCUUGAAAUCAAGGACCAUUUCUCUUCAUCUUAUCUUGAGCUACAUACCAAAUAUGAG
RNAcentral lists this long non-coding RNA (871 nucleotides) under Homo sapiens (human). RNAcentral's name for it is "non-protein coding lnc-GCA-2:4". Lineage: Eukaryota; Metazoa; Chordata; Mammalia; Primates; Hominidae. The record is from RNAcentral.